GUGCUUGCUUCGGUAGCACAUAUACUAAAUUUGGUAUGAUACGGAGAAGAUAGCAUGGCCCCUGUGCAAGGAUGACACGCAAAUUCAUGAAGUGUUCCAUAUUUUU
Small nuclear RNA from Marmota flaviventris (yellow-bellied marmot), 106 nucleotides. The record is from RefSeq and is a predicted model, not a curated record. Lineage: Eukaryota; Metazoa; Chordata; Mammalia; Rodentia; Sciuridae.